GAUGAACGCUAGCGGCAGGCCUAACACAUGCAAGUCGAGGGUAUAAAAGAGCUUGCUUUUUAGAGACCGGCUAACGGGUGCGGAACACGUACGCAAUCUGCCCUUAUCACGGGGAUAGCCCAGAGAAAUUUGGAUUAAUACCCGAUAGUAUUAUAAUAAGGCAUCUUGUUGUAAUUAAAGCUAUGGCGGAUAAGGAUGAGCGUGCGCAAGAUUAGCUAGUUGGUGAGGUAACGGCUCACCAAGGCGACGAUCUUUAGCUGAUGUGAGAGCAUGAUCAGCCACACGGGCACUGAGACACGGGCCCGACUCCUACGGGAGGCAGCAGUGAGGAAUAUUGGUCAAUGGACGGAAGUCUGAACCAGCCAUGCCGCGUGAAGGAUGAAGGCGUUCUGCGUUGUAAAC
RNAcentral lists this ribosomal RNA (402 nucleotides) under uncultured bacterium. RNAcentral's name for it is "bacterial SSU rRNA". It matches the Rfam family "Bacterial small subunit ribosomal RNA", at positions 28 to 430 of the family's 1533-position model. The record is from RNAcentral.